Molecule: ribosomal RNA, 272 nt
Filed under: uncultured prokaryote
Description: partial 16S ribosomal RNA
Rfam family: Bacterial small subunit ribosomal RNA
Source: RNAcentral
UACGGAGGGUGCGAGCGUUGUCCGGAAUCACUGGGCGUAAAGGGCGCGUAGGCGGCCUGAUAAGUAGGGGGUGAAAUCCUGCGGCUUAACCGCAGGGCUGCCUUCUAAACUGUCGGGCUCGAGCACAGUAGAGGCAGGUGGAAUUCCCGGUGUAGCGGUGGAAUGCGUAGAGAUCGGGAAGAACAUCAGUGGCGAAGGCGGCCUGCUGGGCUGUUGCUGACGCUGAGGCGCGACAGCGUGGGGAGCAAACAGGAUUAGAUACCGAGUAGUCC